GACGAACGCUGGCGGCGUGCCUAAUACAUGCAAGUCGAGCGGACAGAAGGGAGCUUGCUCCCGGAUGUUAGCGGCGGACGGGUGAGUAACACGUGGGUAACCUGCCUGUAAGACUGGGAUAACUCCGGGAAACCGGAGCUAAUGCCGGAUAGUUCCUUGAACCGCAUGGUUCAAGGAUGAAAGACGGUUUCGGCUGUCACUUACAGAUGGACCCGCGGCGCAUUAGCUAGUUGGUGGGGUAAUGGAUCACCAAGGCGACGAUGCGUAGCCGACCUGGGAGGGUGGUCGGCCACACUGGGACUGAGACACGGCCCAGACUCCUACGGGAGGCAGCAGUAGGGAAUCUUCCGCAAUGGACGAAAGUCUGACGGAGCAACGCCGCGUGAGUGAUGAAGGUUUUCGGAUCGUAAAGCUCUGUUGUUAGGGAAGAACAAGUGCGAGAGUAACUGCUCGCACCUUGACGGUACCUAACCAGAAAGCCACGGCUAACUACGUGCCAGCCGCCGCCGUAA
Molecule: ribosomal RNA, 512 nt
Filed under: uncultured bacterium
Lineage: Bacteria
Description: partial 16S ribosomal RNA
Rfam family: Bacterial small subunit ribosomal RNA
Source: RNAcentral